Carassius gibelio (silver crucian carp) is the source of this 3521-nucleotide long non-coding RNA. RefSeq lists it as uncharacterized. The record is from RefSeq and is a predicted model, not a curated record. Lineage: Eukaryota; Metazoa; Chordata; Actinopteri; Cypriniformes; Cyprinidae. The transcript has 3 exons.
AUAGCUGACUUCCUGUUGGGUGGAGCCUAUGACAUGCAAUACGAAAGUUGUUCGGCACGAUGAGAUCUAUAUGUGUACUGAGUUUCAUAUGAAUAUGUGCAAGUAUGUGUGAGCUAUACAUCAACAUUUAUGACUGUGUUCCAGGGGGCGCCAUAGAGCCCCUGUGCCACGCCCGGGUCCCAGCCUCUGCAGGCUCCUAAAGGCCACAGAUUCCAAAGUGUGCGCAAAUUUUCAAGAGUUUUUGAGUAUGUUAGGGACCCCAAAAGCCCCCACAACUUUGACCAAAAAUAUGAAUAAUAAACCCUAAAUAGCCAACUUCCUGUUGGGCGGAGCCUAUGACAUGCAGUACGAAAGUUGUUUGGUUUAAUGAGAUCUACAUGUGUACCGAGUUUCAUGUGUCUACGUGCAAGUAUGUAUGAUAUAUGGCCCUCAGUAUUCCAGGGGGCGCUGUAGAGCCCCUGUGCCACGCCCGUGUAUCAGUCUCUGCCCGGCCCUAAUGGCCGCAGGUUCCAAUCUGUGUGCCAAUUUUCAAGAGUUUUCGAGCAUGUUAAGGACCCCAAAAGCCCCCGUAACGUUAGAAAAAAAUAAUAAUAAUAAUAAUAAUAAUAAAAAAUAAUCCUAAGGAAAACAAUAGGGCUCUCGCCCUCCAGGCUUGAGCCCUAAUUAAAGCUGCAAGCAGCGAUGAACGGGCCCUCGCACCCGGGCUCACCGCCAUCGUGUGGCUUUAGUAAAAAGGUGAACGUUGAGAAAUAUGCAUUUAAUGUCCUAAAUAUAAGUGGAAUAUAUCAAAGUAUAUCCCAUAUAUGUGCCAAUCUUACCGUUGCCAGCAGGUGGCGCUAUCGUUAUAAUGGAAUAUUGGCCUUCAGAUGUGUUCAAGCCAGGACCCUUAUCACACAUGUGAAGUUUGGGCAAGAUCGGACAUUUUAUGCCUGAGUUAUAACAUCUUUUAUUCCCAUGGCGAGACAUCGAACUUCGUCAUGGCGACAUGGACAUGCCUUUUAACAAAAACUCAAGAUCUUCACAACUAAACAUCACACAGGUCUUUAGAUUAGACUGACCACAAAAAAGACAUUGAUGUCAUAAAAUUUCUAGGAGUAGUUUGUCACAGUGUAAAAUAUGUCACUUCCAGUUGCCAAUAGGUGGCGCUAUGACUAUAACUGAAUAUUGGCAUGUAGAUCUGUUCAGGUGAAGAGUCUUAUCAAAAAUGUGAAGUUUGGGGCGGAUUGGACAUUGUAUGUGUGAGUUAUAGCACCAUCAUUUUUCAUGGCGAAUCAUGGAAAUUUGUCAGGCCGCCAUGGACACGCCCUUUAACGAAACCUCAAUUCCUUCGCAAUUUAACAUGGCAAAGGGCUUUAGAUUACACUGACCAAGUUUGGUGUUGAUCUGAAUAAAUCUCUAGGAGGAGUUCGUUAAAAUACAACCCCUGAAAAUGACAAAAACAACACCAAUUUUGCAGGGAAAAUUAAAAAUAACCGACUUCCUGUUGGGAUUCGGGUUUCGUACCAAGAGACUUUUUUGUAGCUAUUGGUGUGUUACAUAUGUUUACCGAUUUUCGUACAUGUAUAUGACAUGUAGCUCGAGGCGCACUCCAUUGAAAAUGUAUAGGUGGCGCUAUCGAGCCAUUUUGCCACACCCAAUGGAAUAUUAGCCUCCAGAUGUGUUCAGGUCAGUACUCUUAUCAAACAUUUGAAGUCUGGGCAAGAUCUGAUAUUUUAUGACUGAGUUACAGCAACUUCUACUCCCAUGGCGAGACAUCGAACUUUGACAUGGCGCCAUGGACAUGCCCUUUAACGAAAACUCAAGAUCUUCUCAUUUUAACAUCGUACAGGCCUUUAGAUUAGACUGACGACAAAAAAGACAUUGAUGUCAAAAAUUUCUAGGAGUAGUUUGUCGCAGCUUAAAAUAUGUAACUUCCUGUUGCCAAUAGGUGGCGCUAUGACUAUAACUGAAUAUUGUCGUGUCAAACUGUUCAGGUCAAGAGUCUUAUCCAACAUGUGAAGUUUGGGGCAGAUUGGUCAUUGUAUGUCUGAGUUAUAGCAACUUCCUGUUUCAUGGCGAAUCAUCGAAAUUCGCCAGGCCGCCACACACAGGCCCUUCAACGAAAACUCAAAAGCUUCGCAAUUUAACAUCGCAAAGGACUUUAGAUUAGGCAUACCAAAUUUGGUGUUGAUCUGAAUUAAUCUCUAGGAGGAGUUCGUUAAAAUACAACGCAUGGAAAUGACAAAAGUGACACAAAAUUUGCUCAUAAUAUUUGAAAUAACCGACUUCCUGUUGGGUUUCGGAUUUUGCUCCAAGAGACUUUUUUGUAGGUAUUGGAGAGUUACAUGUGUAUACCGAUUUUCAUACAUGUACAUGAAACGUAGCUCGAGGCGCACACCGUUGAACGUGUAUAGGUGGCGCUGUUGAGCCAUUUUGGCACACCCACUUCUGAAACCCAUAUCAGACGUAAAUUUUCGCCAGUUCUGAGGUGUGUGCAAAGUUUCAUGACUUUUCGAGCAUGUUUAGGCCCUCAAAAAUGCGAUUCAUCUUAGAGAAGAAGAAUAAUAAUAAUAAGAAAUAUAGCUGCAAGCAGCGAUGGCGGGCUCAAGCCACCAAUGCCAUCACCACCCCGGUGGCAUCAGGUAAACUGUGCCCAGCGGGCACAUGCAUUCACAAUAUCCCUCUGGCAGUGAGGUUUUAAAGGAUAGAGGGGAGCGUAGAGGGGAGCGUGCAUUUGCAGUGGCUGGGCCACGACUCUGGAAUACCCUGCCUUUAGAGAUCAGACUGGCCCCUUCCUUGUCUAUUUUUAAAUCUUUGCUAAAAACUUUUUUAUUUUCCUUAGUGUACCUACUACUGUGUUAUGCUACAUUUUGAAAUGGGUGGUUUUAAAUUUUUUGUCUGGUCUAUUUUUAUGUAUGUGUAAUAUUCUUGCUCUUAUGUUAAAGCACUUUGGUCAGCCAGGAGGCUGUUGUAAAUGCGCUAUACAAAUAAAUUGAACUUGAACUUGAACUUGAACUUGAUAUGGCAGUUAAAGGGUUAAUCCGAAUCAUCUAGACUUUAAAAUCACAUUCACAGAACAAUAUAUAUAUAUAUAUAUAUAACUUUAGUAACACUUUACAAUAAGAUUUCAUUUAUAAACAUUAUGUUAACAUGAACAAUAUUUAUAUAGCAUUCAUUCAUGUCAGUUAAUAUUCCAAACUUAAACAUUAAAACAUUGUUUUAUUGUGAUUUUUUUCCAAGCACAUUUUACCAAUUCCAAACCAUAUCAAUCUUAAUAACUACCAUUAUUUUUUAUUUAAUCAUUUAUGAGUGCUAUACAAUAGUCCAGGAAAGCUGGAAGAGAAAAACAGGUCAAGAAGAACUGACAAAAGAAUUGCAAAAGAAUUAGGAAUUAAUGUGAAGAUUAAUUUUUAGUCAAUUCUGCAAGACAGACUUUCAGGAAAGGAGGUGGAAUAAAAAUGAGCUCCUAAAUCUUAAUCCCGGAUUCUGGAAGAUAUAUUCCUCAAACCAUCGGACAAGAGGAGGUGCUGCUGGUCCUUCAC